UUUUGAGGGUCCUGCACAAGUGACAAGUUAAAGGUGUGACCAUUUCCCAGCUCAAGCAGCAAAUAUUUGCAGAAGCCUUUGGCAAAUUCUUCACAUGUGCAUGACGCAGAUGUACUAGUAUAUUUGGCUGUGACUCGGAGAAGAGCUGGUUAACGCCUGUCCCCUGGGCAGAGACAUGAGGAGGACUGAUGGCAGGAGAUGUAAUGUAGGGUGACAGGUUGCCUGGCUUGUCUGAAGGAGGCCAGAUUAGGACCUCACAUUCUUCCAACUUUCGUGGUUGAAUUGCAUUCUUUGCCAUUUUACGGCUGGUUGAGGAAGAAGAAGGAGAAGCUGGCUACAUUUACCAGAGGCUACGUGGUAGUAUUGCCCUCUCUGGUGGAGACUUGCAUCAGGUUUUUUUCCCAUUGUGCAACUUCACGCCUGUGUAGCAUGAUCUGUGCGCACUUGACUGCUGACUGUCAUCAGAUAUACCAGGCAC
Cyprinus carpio carpio is the source of this 478-nucleotide long non-coding RNA. The record is from Ensembl. Lineage: Eukaryota; Metazoa; Chordata; Actinopteri; Cypriniformes; Cyprinidae.